AUUGAACGCUGGCGGCAUGCCUUACACAUGCAAGUCGAACGGUAACGCGGGGCAACCUGGCGACGAGUGGCGAACGGGUGAGUAAUGCAUCGGAACGUGCCCAGAAGUGGGGGGAUAGCCCGGCGAAAGCCGGAUUAAUACCGCAUGAGACCUGAGGGUGAAAGCGGGGGAUCGCAAGACCUCGCGCUUUUGGAGCGGCCGAUGUCAGAUUAGCUAGUUGGUGGGGUAAAGGCCUACCAAGGCGACGAUCUGUAGCUGGUCUGAGAGGACGACCAGCCACACUGGGACUGAGACACGGCCCAGACUCCUACGGGAGGCAGCAGUGGGGAAUUUUGGACAAUGGGCGCAAGCCUGAUCCAGCCAUGCCGCGUGCGGGAAGAAGGCCUGGUGUAACGCUUUGUCAGGAAGAACGACUCUGGGCGUAAUACCCUCGGGGUAAGUGACGGUACCUGAAGAAUAAGACACCGGCUAACUACGUGCCAGCAGCCGCGGUAA
Molecule: ribosomal RNA, 495 nt
Filed under: uncultured bacterium
Lineage: Bacteria
Description: bacterial SSU rRNA
Rfam family: Bacterial small subunit ribosomal RNA
Source: RNAcentral